Molecule: ribosomal RNA, 494 nt
Filed under: uncultured microorganism
Description: bacterial SSU rRNA
Rfam family: Bacterial small subunit ribosomal RNA
Source: RNAcentral
GAGUUUGAUCGUGGCUCAGAACGAACGCUGGCGGCGUGGAUAAGACAUGCAAGUCGAACGGGAGAAUUGCUAGCUUGCUAAUAAUUCUCUAGUGGCGCACGGGUGAGUAACACGUGAGUAACCUGCCCCCGAGAGCGGGAUAGCCCUGGGAAACUGGGAUUAAUACCGCAUAGUAUCGAAAGAUUAAAGCAGCAAUGCGCUUGGGGAUGGGCUCGCGGCCUAUUAGUUAGUUGGUGAGGUAACGGCUCACCAAGGCGAUGACGGGUAGCCGGUCUGAGAGGAUGUCCGGCCACACUGGAACUGAGACACGGUCCAGACACCUACGGGUGGCAGCAGUCGAGAAUCAUUCACAAUGGGGGAAACCCUGAUGGUGCGACGCCGCGUGGGGGAAUGAAGGUCUUCGGAUUGUAAACCCCUGUCAUGUGGGAGCAAAUUAAAAAGAUAGUACCACAAGAGGAAGAGACGGCUAACUCUGUGCCAGCAGCCGCCGCAGU